GGCAGCAUGGUAUAGUAGUUUGAAUGUAAGACUACUACUCUGGAGGCCAGGGAUCGAUUCCAUGCUUGGUCC
Molecule: non-coding RNA, 72 nt
Organism: Phrynosoma platyrhinos (Desert horned lizard)
Lineage: Eukaryota; Metazoa; Chordata; Lepidosauria; Squamata; Phrynosomatidae
Source: the annotation of a GenBank genome assembly